Molecule: unclassified non-coding RNA, 216 nt
Filed under: Hevea brasiliensis (rubber tree)
Lineage: Eukaryota; Viridiplantae; Streptophyta; Magnoliopsida; Malpighiales; Euphorbiaceae
Source: RNAcentral
UUUGAAAAAAUUACACUUGACCGAUGAUUUAUCACCAGGGCAGGUAUAGAACUUCCUCUCAGGAUUUUUCUGCGUUCCGGAUGUGAAGACAGGACACGUGCCUCGACCACAAGGACAUCGAAUCAGUGGCAAACCAGAAGAACCCAUGGAGGUUGAUCCAGGACUGGAGGGCUGUGAUAUCUUUCGGGUUUUGUUGGGGCAUUCUUUGGCCCAAUG